RNAcentral lists this ribosomal RNA (501 nucleotides) under uncultured soil bacterium. RNAcentral describes it as "bacterial SSU rRNA". It matches the Rfam family "Bacterial small subunit ribosomal RNA", at positions 26 to 524 of the family's 1533-position model. The record is from RNAcentral.
AGAUUGAACGCUGGCGGCAUGCUUUACACAUGCAAGUCGAACGGUAACAGGCCGCAAGGUGCUGACGAGUGGCGAACGGGUGAGUAAUGUAUCGGAACGUGCCCAGUCGUGGGGGAUAACGCAGCGAAAGCUGCGCUAAUACCGCAUACGAUCUAUGGAUGAAAGCGGGGGACCGUAAGGCCUCGCGCGAUUGGAGCGGCCGAUAUCAGAUUAGGUAGUUGGUGGGGUAAAGGCUCACCAAGCCAACGAUCUGUAGCUGGUCUGAGAGGACGACCAGCCACACUGGGACUGAGACACGGCCCAGACUCCUACGGGAGGCAGCAGUGGGGAAUUUUGGACAAUGGGCGCAAGCCUGAUCCAGCAAUGCCGCGUGCAGGAAGAAGGCCUUCGGUUGUAAACUGCUUUUGUACGGAACGAAACGGUCCUGGUUAAGUACCUAGGGCUAAUGACGGUACCGUAAGAAUAAGCACCGGCUAACUACGUGCCAGCAGCCGCGGUAAC